Molecule: transfer RNA, 74 nt
Filed under: Candidatus Caldarchaeum subterraneum
Lineage: Archaea; Thermoproteati; Nitrososphaerota; Candidatus Caldarchaeales; Candidatus Caldarchaeaceae
Description: tRNA-Thr
Rfam family: tRNA
About the family: Transfer RNA (tRNA) molecules are approximately 80 nucleotides in length. Their secondary structure includes four short double-helical elements and three loops (D, anti-codon, and T loops).
Source: RNAcentral
GCCCCGGUAGCUCAGCCUGGUAGAGCGCCAGCUUGGUAAGCUGGAGGCCGCGGGUUCAAAACCCGCCCGGGGCU